This 253-nucleotide ribosomal RNA is filed under the name uncultured bacterium. RNAcentral describes it as "partial 16S ribosomal RNA". It matches the Rfam family "Bacterial small subunit ribosomal RNA", at positions 524 to 776 of the family's 1533-position model. The record is from RNAcentral.
UACGGAGGGUGCGAGCGUUGUCCGGAAUCAUUGGGCGUCAAGGGCGCGUAGGUGGCCCGGUCAGCGUGCGGUGAAAGCUCGGGGCUCAACCCCGAGUCGGCCGUGCGAACUGCUGGGCUUGAGCACUGUAGAGGCAGGCGGAAUUCCGGGUGUAGCGGUGGAAUGCGUAGAGAUCCGGAAGAACACCGGUGGCGAAGGCGGCCUGCUGGGCAGUGGCUGACACUGAGGCGCGACAGCGUGGGGAGCAAACAGG